RNAcentral lists this small nuclear RNA (18 nucleotides) under Arabidopsis thaliana (thale cress). RNAcentral's name for it is "snRNA_11051". The record is from RNAcentral. Lineage: Eukaryota; Viridiplantae; Streptophyta; Magnoliopsida; Brassicales; Brassicaceae.
AUGACGAGUACGCCACUC